Molecule: long non-coding RNA, 460 nt
Filed under: Castor canadensis (American beaver)
Lineage: Eukaryota; Metazoa; Chordata; Mammalia; Rodentia; Castoridae
Description: lncRNA (ENSCCNG00000006946.1)
Source: RNAcentral
GAAGAGUACAGACAAGGGAAACACGGCUUCUCCAUGGGACCUGGUGAGUGUGGUGUGCAUUGUGUAAUCUGUGCUUCCUCUCCUCUGUUUCCUACAAAAUGCUUUCUGCUCUGAACAUGUUCUUUACUCUUCCUUGAAGACCCAUGAAGAAUUCAGGAAGACAAGACUUGGCUAUCAAACCAUGGAGGACGAUUGUGUGGAUUGUCAAGGUGAUGUGACUGGUGUGAAGGAUCAGAUAUGACACUGUCACAUUCAGCCCUUCCAGUGCCCACAGGAAAGACAAGAAGCUGGAGUAAGAAAUGGGGAAUGGACAGCUGCAUGAAGAUCUUAAGAGACCAGGACAACCACUGUGGUAGUGCCACAGCUAUCCCACUGUGCGAGCUCCUCGUUGGCGAUAGGAAGGUUUCGAUUGCGGACAUCAUGCCCAGAGGAGGGACUUUAUCACCAAGCUUCAAAAUAU